This 72-nucleotide transfer RNA is filed under the name Chlorella variabilis. It matches the Rfam family "tRNA". Rfam says of the family: Transfer RNA (tRNA) molecules are approximately 80 nucleotides in length. The record is from Rfam by way of RNAcentral. Lineage: Eukaryota; Viridiplantae; Chlorophyta; Trebouxiophyceae; Chlorellales; Chlorellaceae.
GGGACUUUGGUCUAGUGGUAUGAUUCUCGCUUUGGGUGCGAGAGGUCACGGGUUCGAUUCCCGUAAGUCCCC